This 253-nucleotide ribosomal RNA is filed under the name uncultured bacterium. RNAcentral describes it as "partial 16S ribosomal RNA". It matches the Rfam family "Bacterial small subunit ribosomal RNA", at positions 524 to 776 of the family's 1533-position model. The record is from RNAcentral.
UACGAAGGGUGCAAGCGUUACUCGGAAUUACUGGGCGUAAAGCGUGCGUAGGUGGUUUGUUAAGUCUGUUGUGAAAGCCCCGGGCUCAACCUGGGAAUGGCAAUGGAUACUGGCAGGCUAGAGUGCGGUAGAGGGCAGUGGAAUUCCCGGUGUAGCGGUGAAAUGCGUAGAGAUCGGGAGGAACACCAGUGGCGAAGGCGGCUACCUGGACCAGCACUGACACUGAGGCACGAAAGCGUGGGGAGCAAACAGG